This 253-nucleotide ribosomal RNA is filed under the name uncultured bacterium. Its description in RNAcentral is "partial 16S ribosomal RNA". It matches the Rfam family "Bacterial small subunit ribosomal RNA", at positions 524 to 776 of the family's 1533-position model. The record is from RNAcentral.
UACGUAGGGACCAAGCGUUGUUCGGAUUUACUGGGCGUAAAGGGCGCGUAGGCGGCGUAUCAGGUCACUUGUGAAAUCUCCGGGCUUAACUCGGAACGGUCAAGUGAUACUGAUGUGCUAGAGUGCAGAAGGGGCAACCGGAAUUCUUGGUGUAGCGGUGAAAUGCGUAGAUAUCAAGAGGAACACCGGAGGUGAAGACGGGUUGCUGGGCUGACACUGACGCUGAGGCGCGAAAGCCAGGGGAGCGAACGGG